CUGGCGGUAUGCUUAACACAUGCAAGUCGAACGGAUGUUUUCGGACAUUAGUGGCGGACGGGUGAGUAACGCGUGAGAAUCUAGCUUCAGGUUGGGGACAACAGUUGGAAACGACUGCUAAUACCGGAUGAUGACGUAAGUCCAAAGAUUUAUCGCCCAAGGAUGAGCCCGCGUAGGAUUAGCUAGUUGGUGGGGUAAAGGCCUACCAAGGCGACGAUCUGUAGCGGGUCUGAGAGGAUGAUCCGCCACACUGGGACUGAGACACGGCCCAGACUCCUAC
RNAcentral lists this ribosomal RNA (280 nucleotides) under Ochromonas sp. CCMP1393. RNAcentral describes it as "partial Bacterial small subunit ribosomal RNA". It matches the Rfam family "Bacterial small subunit ribosomal RNA", at positions 36 to 342 of the family's 1533-position model. Lineage: Eukaryota; Chrysophyceae; Chromulinales; Chromulinaceae. The record is from RNAcentral.